GAAAUAGCAAUCUGCAGCCGGCAAGGGGGCGGCACUUAGUCAGGCUCCGCCCACAAGACCCGGCUGCCGUCCCCGCCCGCCUGCGCGGGAUCGACUCCGCAUGCGCACUGGAGCCUCGGAAUACAGCCAGGACUCUCCCGUCGGAAUGCGCCCCUAAGUUGGGCCAAGCCCAUUCAUUCAGGGGCUCCCGAGCCACGUAGGCGCCAUCCCUGGCCAGAGGGGUUCUGAGGAGGUGGGCAAGGGCAGACACUCUCUCCCGGUCUCAAAUUCGAAAUAGGGACUAGAAGGGAACUUCACGCGAGGCCUCGCAACUGUCGCGAGAAUCAGAACAGGAAAUCUAGGAACCGAGAACACUAAGAGCCCGCGGAUUUUAAACAGGAAAAAGAAAGGGCGGAGCAAACUCUGGCGGAUAGUUGUGAGUAAUCCCUGGUCCUUGGAAUAAGUGUCGACCUGAGACAGAAGGGGAACUGUCAGAGAGCUGCCGGAGACCCUGAAAAAGGCCAGAGACGGGGACUUGUGGGGCUGACGAAUGGAAUCACCCAAGGAGAGGUCUCUGACUCUAACAAAACACCUUGGGGACGGAGCUCCUUGGCUGGGAUACAGAGCAGACAAGUCCGGGAUCUUUUAGUGAAUUGCUGCCGGCUUCUAAGGCCUGGAGCAGAUAUUCAACAACAAACUCCACGGACCUAGAAACUCUCCACUUAUCCUACUAUUGUAGACGGUGGCUUACUUUUAGUCUUCCCUAUGCUCUAAGCUUCUGGUAGUAGGAAUCGUGCCUAACUCACUACUGUAUCUUGUGAACCUAGCCCCGCGCCUGGUGGCACGUCAAAUUCUCGGUAAAUAUUUGUGGAUUAAAUGUGAAAGACUGCCUGAGUGUUUAACCUGGAUUUUCUGAGUCGCUGAUGGAGAACAGUAGGUAGACGGGGAACCAGCGCCCUCUGGUGGGCUUGUGGUUCGUGACGAGAACAUGCUGGAACCGUGCAUCCAGAGACAAAGUCUUACUAUGUUAUCCAGGCUGGUGUGGAACUCCUGACCUCAAGCAGUCCUCCCACCUCAGCCUCCCAAAUUGCUGGGAUUAUAGAUGUGAACCACUGUGCCUGGCCAAUAACCACCUUUAACUCUAUACUUUAAGUUUACCUGGUUUUGACAUUUAUAGAAAUUGGGACAUGCCUAGGAUUGGAAUUACUGCUUCAUGUGAUAUGCAUAUUCAACAUUAGUAGAUUUUCUUUUCCUUCCUUCCUUCUUUCCUUCCUUCCUUCCUCCUUUCCUUCCUUCCUUUCCUUCCUUCCUUCCUUCCUUUUCUUUCUUUCCUUUUCUUUUCUUUCUUUCCUUCUUUUCUUUCUUUUUUUUUCUUUUCUUUCUCACAGGGUCUCACUCUAUCUGGGCUAGUCCCAAACUCCUCGGCUUAAGCAAUCCUCCCACCUCAGCCUCCCAAAAUGCUGGGAUUAUCAACAUUAGUAGAUAUUACCAUACACUUUUUCCAGUGUGAUGUAUGAAUUUAUAUAGUCUUCAGCAGUUGAUGAGUUUUCAUUAUGCCACAUCCUUGCCAAGAGUUGGUAUUGUUGUUGUUCUUUUAAAUUUUAGCCAUUAGGUAAAAAUUUUAGAGCCUAAAAUUUUUAAAUGGCCAGUUCUGCAAGGAUUUCCUCUCUUGGAUAUUUUUUUAAAAACCUUUUAUUUUGAAUUUUAGACUUGGAUAGAAGUUGUGAAAAUAGCAAAGAAAUUUCCCAUGUACCUGUCACCUAGCCUACCCUGGUGAUAACAUAAUAUCUUAUAUAACCAUGAUAUAAUUAUCAAAACCAGGAAAUUGAAAUUUAUACAGUACUAUUAGCUAAACAAUGGACCUUAUUUGGAUAUCACUGGUUUGAUAUUACGUGUGUGUGUAUAAUUGAAAUUUUAUUGCAUGUGUAGAGUUGUGUGACCAUGAGGUGAGUAAAUGGGUCUUCAGGGGUAUGACAGGGUAAAACUGAUGCCAAGGGAAAAGCUAGUAGACUCUAUAGUACUAAACACAAUGUCAUUUAAUAUAUGAGUAGCUUUAAAAUUAUUAUAUCAAAAGUCAGUGAUAGGAAAGGCAGCUAGUUACGGUAGCUAAACACACACAGCUGGGUGCGGUGACACAUGCCUAUAGUCCCAGCUACUCAGGAGGCUGAGGCAGGAGGAUCACUUGAGUCCAGGAGUUCAAGUCCAGCCUGAGUGAAAUAGCAAGACCCCGUCUCUAUAAAAACAACAAAAACCCACUCUCACACAUUUGCACACUGUGCGUCUACCUGUUGGGGGAGCUGUGCACAUGGGUAAAGUCCCAGGGUCACUGGUUGAAGUUCACUUUGCAUUAUGACACACUCAGAAGGAAAGAUAAGUUUCUGCCCUUACAUCCAAUUUUACUUGAAGACAACUUUCUGUAGGUGAGGCCAGUGAGAUAACUUUCUGCUGACACCCCACAGCAUCCUCGUUCCUUCUGCCGGACUUCCAGAUUUCUAUUUCUGGCCCAAACCUCUCUCCUGAACAUCACUCCAUGGAUUCGUCUACAACCACUUCUAGUAUUUUCUUCCACAGCCAGGGAAGAAGUCCAUAAACAGCUCCCGGCUACAUCAUACUUAGGACGCCCAGAAAAAUGUAUCAGUAUAUCACAUCUCAGGGAAACCUUUUAUUGACUCUGUUUAGGUGAUGUGCUCAACAAUAAUUCACCACAUGGCCCAGGAGCCACCACCCUGGACCACAAACCCCAUAGCAGAUGCAGUCAGUACCUCACUCAUAUACCCUUGGCUCACUCCAAAGGUUACCUGCAGAUAGUUCCUUUAUGACCCGGUGUGUCUGUCUGUCGGAGGGAGUUCUUUAGCCCCUAGAGUCAGCUUGGCUGACAUGCAGGGCAGGCUGGAAAUGCUGUGGAGGUAACAACUCAGGAGCAAGCCACAUCCGGUGAGGAAAAACAAUAGAGGACAGAUAAUCCUGUUCCUUACCCUUCAGUGGGAUAAUUUUGAGGUGUGUUCUCCACAGUUUUGCAGAAGGCUUAGAGAGACUGAGUCACAGUUGUCCUCAGUGGUAACCUGCUCAUUAAUGCAUCCUUUAUUUGGUUUUCCUCCUCUCUCUGACUUCCCUUCCCCCUCACUGUGUUUUCUGGGAUAAACUCCCAAAUAAACUACUUGUACCAAAAUCCUUGCCUUGGGAUCUGCUUUCUGGGAAAUCAAAAUUAAGACAACCCCUGUAAAGGGAGGAGGCCAUCUUCCUGAGUGCCCCAUCAAGACCACAGGGACCAGGGGGAGAUCUUAGACCCCAAAACCACAUUGUGACAAUAUCUUUGCUGACAUCCCACUUUAUUUCCUUCCUUUUUUUUUUUUUUUAAGAGAUAGAAUCUUUU
Molecule: long non-coding RNA, 3352 nt
Filed under: Homo sapiens (human)
Lineage: Eukaryota; Metazoa; Chordata; Mammalia; Primates; Hominidae
Description: HSALNT0359616
Source: RNAcentral